GCAUAACGCGAAGAACCUUACCAGGGCUUGACAUCCCUCUGACCCCUCCUAGAGAUAGAGGUUCCCUUUCCGGGGCAGAGGUGACAGGUGGUGCAUGGUUGUCGUCAGCUCGUGUCGUGAGAUGUUGGGUUAAGUCCCGCAACGAGCGCAACCCUUGUCCUUAGUUGCCAGCAUUUAGUUUGGGGCACUCUAAGGAGACUGCCGUCGACAAGACGGAGGAAGGGUGGGGAUGACGUCAAAUCAUCAUGCCCCUUAUGUCCUGGGCUACACACGUGCUACAAUGGAUGGUACAACGGGCUGCGAACUCGCGAGAGUAAGCCAAUACCCAAAAAACCAUUCUCAGUUCGGAUUGUAGGCUGCAACUCGCCUACAUGAAGUCGGAAUCGCUAGUAAUCGCGGAUCAGCAUGCCGCGGUGAAUACGUUCCCGGGUCUUGUACACACCG
This 444-nucleotide ribosomal RNA is filed under the name uncultured bacterium. Its description in RNAcentral is "bacterial SSU rRNA". It matches the Rfam family "Bacterial small subunit ribosomal RNA", at positions 954 to 1392 of the family's 1533-position model. The record is from RNAcentral.